UACGUAGGGGGCAAGCGUUGUCCGGAAUUAUUGGGCGUAAAGCGCGCGCAGGCGGCUAAUUAAGUUCGGUGUUUAAUCCUGGGGCUCAACUCCGGGUCGCACUGGAAACUGGUUGGCUUGAGUACAGAAGAGGAAAGUGGAAUUCCACGUGUAGCGGUGAAAUGCGUAGAGAUGUGGAGGAACACCAGUGGCGAAGGCGACUUUCUGGGCUGUAACUGACGCUGAGGCGCGAAAGCGUGGGGAGCAAACAGG
Molecule: ribosomal RNA, 252 nt
Filed under: uncultured bacterium
Lineage: Bacteria
Description: partial 16S ribosomal RNA
Rfam family: Bacterial small subunit ribosomal RNA
Source: RNAcentral